GAUGAACGCUGGCGGCGUGCCUAAUACAUGCAAGUCGAGCGAACAGACGAGGAGCUUGCUCCUCUGACGUUAGCGGCGGACGGGUGAGUAACACGUGGAUAACCUACCUAUAAGACUGGGAUAACUUCGGGAAACCGGAGCUAAUACCGGAUAAUAUAUUGAACCGCAUGGUUCAAUAGUGAAAGACGGUUUUGCUGUCACUUAUAGAUGGAUCCGCGCCGCAUUAGCUAGUUGGUAAGGUAACGGCUUACCAAGGCAACGAUGCGUAGCCGACCUGAGAGGGUGAUCGGCCACACUGGAACUGAGACACGGUCCAGACUCCUACGGAAGGCAGCAGUAGGGAAUCUUCCGCAAUGGGCGAAAGCCUGACGGAGCAACGCCGCGUGAGUGAUGAAGGUCUUCGGAUCGUAAAACUCUGUUAUGAGGGAAGAACAAAUGUGUAAGUAACUAUGCACGUCUUGACGGUACCUAAUCAGAAAGCCACGGCUAACUACGUG
This 497-nucleotide ribosomal RNA is filed under the name uncultured bacterium. RNAcentral describes it as "partial 16S ribosomal RNA". It matches the Rfam family "Bacterial small subunit ribosomal RNA", at positions 28 to 507 of the family's 1533-position model. The record is from RNAcentral.